CCAGAAUACAUAUGGUCUGAUGGAGUUGUGGGACCAGACACCUACUGGACAAGUAGAGAGUUCCUUGCCUGGCUUUACAAUGAAAGGUAAACUUCAGAAUCAUAAAUGGGAAAAUGUUAUGACUGUGGACAAGUUGUCUUAGGGCUACAGACGAAAUGCAGACAUUAUGGAUUAUCUGACCAUUGAGGAGUUGUUAUAUCAGCUUGUAUCGACGGUCAGAUGGAAGGAUAAUACCCGCAUUUGAGGAGCGUCUGCUGCAGAUGGGACAAUGGCUGUCUGUGAACGGUGAAGCUAUUUAUAGC
Molecule: long non-coding RNA, 302 nt
Organism: Orbicella faveolata
Lineage: Eukaryota; Metazoa; Cnidaria; Anthozoa; Scleractinia; Merulinidae
Source: RefSeq, a predicted model, not a curated record